GGGGAUGUAGCUCAGCAGUGCAGUGUCUGCCUGGCAAGCACGAGGUCCUGAUUUCAAUUCUCAGCAGUACCA
RNAcentral lists this transfer RNA (72 nucleotides) under Fukomys damarensis (Damara mole-rat). It matches the Rfam family "tRNA". Rfam says of the family: Transfer RNA (tRNA) molecules are approximately 80 nucleotides in length. Their secondary structure includes four short double-helical elements and three loops (D, anti-codon, and T loops). Further hydrogen bonds mediate the characteristic L-shaped molecular structure. tRNAs have two regions of fundamental functional importance: the anti-codon, which is responsible for specific mRNA codon recognition, and the 3' end, to which the tRNAs corresponding amino acid is attached (by aminoacyl-tRNA synthetases). tRNAs cope with the degeneracy of the genetic code in two manners: having more than one tRNA (with a specific anti-codon) for a particular amino acid; and 'wobble' base-pairing, i.e. permitting non-standard base-pairing at the 3rd anti-codon position. Lineage: Eukaryota; Metazoa; Chordata; Mammalia; Rodentia; Bathyergidae. The record is from Rfam by way of RNAcentral.